Molecule: small nuclear RNA, 195 nt
Organism: Solanum verrucosum
Lineage: Eukaryota; Viridiplantae; Streptophyta; Magnoliopsida; Solanales; Solanaceae
Product: U2 spliceosomal RNA
Exons: 1
Source: RefSeq, a predicted model, not a curated record
AUACCUUUCUCGGCCUUUUGGCUAAGAUCAAGUGUAGUAUCUGUUCUUAUCAGUUUAAUAUCUGAUAUGUGGGCCAUUGGUCCACACGAUAUUAACUCAAUUUUUUAAGGGGAGUGUCCAUCAAGGUAGCUUGCUACCUGGGCUCUCAAGCGUCGCCCAUGCGUUGCACUAUUGCACGGGCCUGGCGCACCCCAC